CCUACGGGAGGCAGCAGUGAGGAAUAUUGGUCAAUGGCCGCGAGGCUGAACCAGCCAAGUCGCGUGAAGGAUGAAUGUCCUAAGGGUUGUAAACCUCUUUUAUCAGGGAGCAAAGAGACUCUGCGGAGUCGUAUUGAGAGUACCCGAAGAAAAAGCAUCGGCUAACUCCGUGCCAGCAGCCGCGGUAAUACGGAGGAUGCGAGCGUUAUCCGGAUUUAUUGGGUUUAAGGGGGGCGAAGGGGGCGGGUAAAGCAAGCGUUAAAAUAGGGGGGCUAAACCUCAGAUUGCAGUUUGUACUGGCGGGCUUGAGUACAGGCGAGGUAGGCGGAAUUCGUGGUGUAGCGGUGAAAUGCAUAGAUAUCACGAAGAAAUCCGAUUGCGAAGGCAGCUUACCAGUCUGCGACUGACGCUGAGGCACGAAAGUGUGGGUAUCGAACAGGAUUAGAUACCCCAGUAGUC
RNAcentral lists this ribosomal RNA (459 nucleotides) under uncultured bacterium. RNAcentral's name for it is "partial 16S ribosomal RNA". It matches the Rfam family "Bacterial small subunit ribosomal RNA", at positions 338 to 795 of the family's 1533-position model. The record is from RNAcentral.